This 253-nucleotide ribosomal RNA is filed under the name uncultured bacterium. Its description in RNAcentral is "partial 16S ribosomal RNA". It matches the Rfam family "Bacterial small subunit ribosomal RNA", at positions 524 to 776 of the family's 1533-position model. The record is from RNAcentral.
UACGGAGGGAGCUAGCGUUGUUCGGAUCUACUGGGCGUAAAGCGCACGUAGGCGGCGCCGCAAGUCAGGGGUGAAAUCCCGGAGCUCAACUCCGGAACUGCCCUUGAAACUGCAGUGCUAGAAUCUUGGAGAGGCGAGUGGAAUUCCGAGUGUAGAGGUGAAAUUCGUAGAUAUUCGGAAGAACACCAGUGGCGAAGGCGACUCGCUGGACAAGUAUUGACGCUGAGGAGCGAAAGCGUGGGGAGCGAACAGG